This 467-nucleotide ribosomal RNA is filed under the name uncultured bacterium. Its description in RNAcentral is "partial 16S ribosomal RNA". It matches the Rfam family "Bacterial small subunit ribosomal RNA", at positions 28 to 507 of the family's 1533-position model. The record is from RNAcentral.
GACGAACGCUGGCGGCGUGCUUAACACAUGCAAGUCGAACGGAAAGGCCUCAGCUUGCUGGGGUACUCGAGUGGCGAACGGGUGAGUAACACGUGGGUGAUCUGCCUUGCACUCUGGGAUAAGCUUGGGAAACUGGGUCUAAUACCGGAUAUGAACUGCCUUUAGUGUGGUGGUUGGAAAGUUUUUUCGGUGCAAGAUGAGCUCGCGGCCUAUCAGCUUGUUGGUGGGGUAAUGGCCUACCAAGGCGUCGACGGGUAGCCGGCCUGAGAGGGUGUACGGCCACAUUGGGACUGAGAUACGGCCCAGACUCCUACGGGAGGCAGCAGUGGGGAAUAUUGCACAAUGGGCGGAAGCCUGAUGCAGCGACGCCGCGUGGGGGAUGACGGCCUUCGGGUUGUAAACUCCUUUCGACAGGGACGAAGCUUUUUGUGACGGUACCUGUAUAAGAAGCACCGGCUAACUACGUG